GGGCGUGUGGCCAAGUUGGUAAGGCGUCUGUUUCGCGUACAGAAGAUCUUGAGUUCGAUUCCCAACUCGUCCA
Molecule: transfer RNA, 73 nt
Organism: Ascoidea rubescens DSM 1968
Lineage: Eukaryota; Fungi; Ascomycota; Saccharomycetes; Ascoideales; Ascoideaceae
Rfam family: tRNA
About the family: Transfer RNA (tRNA) molecules are approximately 80 nucleotides in length. Their secondary structure includes four short double-helical elements and three loops (D, anti-codon, and T loops). Further hydrogen bonds mediate the characteristic L-shaped molecular structure. tRNAs have two regions of fundamental functional importance: the anti-codon, which is responsible for specific mRNA codon recognition, and the 3' end, to which the tRNAs corresponding amino acid is attached (by aminoacyl-tRNA synthetases). tRNAs cope with the degeneracy of the genetic code in two manners: having more than one tRNA (with a specific anti-codon) for a particular amino acid; and 'wobble' base-pairing, i.e. permitting non-standard base-pairing at the 3rd anti-codon position.
Source: Rfam